AGCCUUUUUUGGAAUUUUUUGGAAUGCCAAAAGGGAUUUGGCGUGGACUCUUGGGUGCCCUCUUCCUUGGAUAAAAAUCCUAGACCUUGCCUAUAAAAAGGGUGGCCCUCUUCUUGGCAUCAUAUCAAUUCCUUCUUUGCUGAUUUUUGUUUUUCUAGAGCUCUUCUCUUCUUCCUCUCUUCCUCCUCCAGAUCUCUUCAUCCUUUGGAGUGUCCAAAGUACUUGAAGAAGAAGGAAGAAAUUAACCAUCACAGAUCCUUGCUAGCUAGCAUCUCCAGGACCCUGAUCUGCGCCAGUCUUCAUGUGAAUUUUUUGUAGAGGUCAGAUGACUUCGUGUGGUACAAG
RNAcentral lists this long non-coding RNA (345 nucleotides) under Elaeis guineensis (African oil palm). Its description in RNAcentral is "long non-coding RNA (EGUI_LNC037519)". The record is from RNAcentral. Lineage: Eukaryota; Viridiplantae; Streptophyta; Magnoliopsida; Arecales; Arecaceae.